UCCCGAGUAGCUCAGUUGGAUAGAGCGUUUGGUUCUGUGUAGGUUUCUGAAACACGUAUAAAUCCUAUUCGCCAAAAGGUCAUCGGUUCGAGUCCGAUCUCGGGAU
RNAcentral lists this transfer RNA (106 nucleotides) under Flavobacterium psychroterrae. RNAcentral describes it as "tRNA-OTHER". It matches the Rfam family "tRNA". Rfam says of the family: Transfer RNA (tRNA) molecules are approximately 80 nucleotides in length. Their secondary structure includes four short double-helical elements and three loops (D, anti-codon, and T loops). The record is from RNAcentral. Lineage: Bacteria; Pseudomonadati; Bacteroidota; Flavobacteriia; Flavobacteriales; Flavobacteriaceae.